Molecule: ribosomal RNA, 531 nt
Filed under: uncultured Vibrio sp.
Lineage: Bacteria; Pseudomonadati; Pseudomonadota; Gammaproteobacteria; Vibrionales; Vibrionaceae
Description: bacterial SSU rRNA
Rfam family: Bacterial small subunit ribosomal RNA
Source: RNAcentral
GCCUAACACAUGCAAGUCGAGCGGAAACGACAUUAUUGAAUCUUCGGAGGAUUUAAUGGGCGUCGAGCGGCGGACGGGUGAGUAAUGCCUAGGAAAUUGCCUUGAUGUGGGGGAUAACCAUUGGAAACGAUGGCUAAUACCGCAUAAUGCCUACGGGCCAAAGAGGGGGAUCUUCGGACCUCUCGCGUCAAGAUAUGCCUAGGUGGGAUUAGCUAGUUGGUGAGGUAAUGGCUCACCAAGGCGACGAUCCCUAGCUGGUCUGAGAGGAUGAUCAGCCACACUGGAACUGAGACACGGUCCAGACUCCUACGGGAGGCAGCAGUGGGGAAUAUUGCACAAUGGGCGAAAGCCUGAUGCAGCCAUGCCGCGUGUAUGAAGAAGGCCUUCGGGUUGUAAAGUACUUUCAGUUGUGAGGAAGGGGGUAACGUUAAUAGCGUUAUCUCUUGACGUUAGCAACAGAAGAAGCACCGGCUAACUCCGUGCCAGCAGCCGCGGUAAUACGGAGGGUGCGAGCGUUAAUCGGAAUUACUG